AGCGUAGACGGAUUAGCAAGUCUGAUGUGAAAGGCAGGGGCUCAACCCCUGGACUGCAUUUGAAACUGUAGAGCUUGAGUGAAGUAGAGGCAGGCGGAAUUCCCGGUGUAGCGGUGGAAUGCGUAGAUAUCGGGAGGAACACCAGUGGCGAAGGCGGCCUACUGGGCACCAACUGACGCUGAGGCUCGAAAGUGUGGGUAGCAAACA
This 207-nucleotide ribosomal RNA is filed under the name uncultured bacterium. RNAcentral's name for it is "partial 16S ribosomal RNA". It matches the Rfam family "Bacterial small subunit ribosomal RNA", at positions 568 to 774 of the family's 1533-position model. The record is from RNAcentral.